RNAcentral lists this unclassified non-coding RNA (87 nucleotides) under Pseudomonas poae. The record is from RNAcentral. Lineage: Bacteria; Pseudomonadati; Pseudomonadota; Gammaproteobacteria; Pseudomonadales; Pseudomonadaceae.
UGUGGGAGCUGGCUUGCCUGCGAUGCAGACACCUCGGUGCAUCAGGAAAACCCGGUCGAUGCCAUCGCAGGCAAGCCAGCUCCCACA